RNAcentral lists this ribosomal RNA (440 nucleotides) under uncultured bacterium. RNAcentral's name for it is "partial 16S ribosomal RNA". It matches the Rfam family "Bacterial small subunit ribosomal RNA", at positions 338 to 795 of the family's 1533-position model. The record is from RNAcentral.
CCUACGCGAGGCUGCAGUGGGGGAUAUUGCACAAUGGGGGCAACCCUGAUGCAGCGACGCCGCGUGUGGGAAGACGGUCCUCUGGAUUGUACACCACUGUCCCCAGGGACGAAAAUGACGGUACCUGGGGAGGAAGCUCCGGCUAACUACGUGCCAGCAGCCGCGGUAAUACGUAGGGAGCGAGCGUUGUCCGGAAUUACUGGGUGUAAAGGGAGCGUAGGCGGGGAUGCAAGUUGGGUGUAAAAACUACCGGCUCAACUGGUAGUCGCACUCAAACCUGCAGCUCUUGAGUGAAGUAGAGGCAGGCGGAAGUCCUAGUGUAGUGGUGAAAUGCGUAGAUAGUAGGAGGAACACCAGUGGCGAAGGCGGCCUGCUGGGCUUUUACUGACGCUGAGGCUCGAAAGUGUGGGGAGCAAACAGGAGUAGAUACCCCAGUAGUC